Molecule: ribosomal RNA, 460 nt
Filed under: uncultured bacterium
Lineage: Bacteria
Description: partial 16S ribosomal RNA
Rfam family: Bacterial small subunit ribosomal RNA
Source: RNAcentral
CCUACGGGUGGCAGCAGUGAGGAAUAUUGGUCAAUGGACGAGAGUCUGAACCAGCCAAGUAGCGUGAAGGAUGACUGCCCUAUGGGUUGUAAACUUCUUUUAUAAAGGAAUAAAACGAGGCACGUGUGCCUCUUUGCAUGUACUUUAUGAAUAAGGAUCGGCUAACUACGUGCCAGCAGCCGCGGUAAUACGGAGGAUCCGGGCGUUAUCCGGAUUUUUUGGGUUUAAAGGGAGCGUAGAUGGGUUGUUAAGUCAGUUGUGAAAGUUUGCGGCUCAACCGUAAAAUUGCAAUUGAUACUGGCAGUCUUGAGUACAGUUGAGGUAGGCGGAAUUCGUGGUGUAGCGGUGAAAUGCUUAGAUAUCACGAAGAACCCCGAUUGCGAAGGCAGGUGACUAAGCUGUGACUGACAUUGAUGCUCGAAAGUGUGGGUAUCAAACAGGAUUAGAUACCCCGGUAGUC